GACGAACGCUGGCGGCGUGCUUAACACAUGCAAGUCGAACGGAAAGGCCCUGCUUUUGUGGGGUGCUCGAGUGGCGAACGGGUGAGUAACACGUGAGUAACCUGCCCUUGACUUUGUGAUAACUUCAGGAAACUGGGGCUAAUACCGGCUAGGAGCUCCUGCUGCAUGGUGGGGGUUGGAAAGUUUCGGCGGUUGGGGAUGGACUCGGGGCUUAUCAGCUUGUUGGUUGGGUAGUGGCCUACCGAGUGUUUGACGGAUCGGCGGCCUGAGAGGUGGAACGGGCACAAGGGGACUGCGAGACGCCGCAGACGGCAACGGGAGGCAGCGGUGGGGAAUAUUGCACAGUGGGCGGGAGCGUGAGGCAGCAACGCUGCGUGUGGGAUGAAGGCCUUGGGGGGGGAAACCGCUGUCGCCUGUGACGAAGCGGGAUUGACGGUAAUGGGUAAAGAAGCACCGGCUAACUACGUG
Molecule: ribosomal RNA, 468 nt
Filed under: uncultured bacterium
Lineage: Bacteria
Description: partial 16S ribosomal RNA
Rfam family: Bacterial small subunit ribosomal RNA
Source: RNAcentral